CCUGUUACUAUCACAGAAACUGUCAUCUGAAGUUUGGUGUUCCAUCUCUGCUCAGAAGCUCCCUCUCCAUGUCCGCCUCAUCUCCUGAAAGAUUCCCAGAAGAUGCAAUUUGCUAAUGUCCCGGUGGCCCUGGCUGGAGUGUGGACUAGACCACCUACAAGGCAGUGUUGGGGAAUAUAUGAUAAGACCCUAUUGCUGAAGAC
Jaculus jaculus (lesser Egyptian jerboa) is the source of this 203-nucleotide long non-coding RNA. RefSeq lists it as uncharacterized. The record is from RefSeq and is a predicted model, not a curated record. The transcript has 3 exons. NCBI's taxonomy places the organism in Eukaryota, Metazoa, Chordata, Mammalia, Rodentia, Dipodidae.